Long non-coding RNA from Hevea brasiliensis (rubber tree), 514 nucleotides. RefSeq lists it as uncharacterized. Lineage: Eukaryota; Viridiplantae; Streptophyta; Magnoliopsida; Malpighiales; Euphorbiaceae. The record is from RefSeq and is a predicted model, not a curated record. The transcript is spliced from 2 exons.
GAAAUUAUCGUCCGGAAUGCAAUCGGAUUGUAGGAAUAAGAGACUUUGCCUUGAGGAUGUUCCUUGUGAUGGAAGAAGGACCUCUAGCUGAGAAGUAUGCAACAGCUGGAGCAGGCUUAUAUUUUGUCACUGCUGUGGUAGCUGAUCUUUAACUUCAGAUCAAGACAAUAGUCUUUUGUCUUACUUAGUUGAGUUUAUGUAAGAAAGAAUUUCAGCAGCAUCCUUUGAACUGAUGACGGUCAUCGGAAAUUCCUUGUAAGUGGAUGCAACGGCCUUUGUCUUGUCAUCAACCAAAAUUAGACCAAUUCCUCCUAAGCUUUGAACUUCCCCCUUCUUCUCAUAAUCUGAGUAUUCACCAUCUUCAUUAUCACAGAGUAUAAUAUUUCCUUUGAUCUUCUCCUUAUCCAUGGAACCUGGCUUGCAGUUUCUGAACCAAUGCAUGUUUUAGAUAUAAAUAUUAGUGCAUGAGAGAAUUCCAUGGCUCAUAAAAAUAAUUAAACCCUUUUUUUGUGUG